RNAcentral lists this ribosomal RNA (327 nucleotides) under Triticum aestivum (bread wheat). RNAcentral describes it as "partial small subunit ribosomal RNA". The record is from RNAcentral. Lineage: Eukaryota; Viridiplantae; Streptophyta; Magnoliopsida; Poales; Poaceae.
AUGGUGGCAGAAAGAAGAACUGUGUCGGGAACCCAAAGUUUUGGGCGAGGCAAAUUUUCCCAGGCUGGUAGGGCUCUUGUGAGAGGGACAAGAGGACACAACCGGGGUAGGGCGCGAGGUAAUGCUUCCGUGCCCUGCAAGCAUACAUCUAGCGACGGUGGAAUGCACGAGGAUGGCGAUGAUCUGAAUGACAUACCUGAGUGCCCUUCGAAAAAUACUGUGGAGAAAGAACAUGACCGUGCGAAAGAAAAGGAUGUUGUGUCAACAAAGAAGAAACUGGAUAUGGACGUCGAGUCCAACCAAGAUCAAGGAGCUCUAGCUUGUUGA